This 269-nucleotide ribosomal RNA is filed under the name Nitrospinota bacterium. RNAcentral's name for it is "partial 16S ribosomal RNA". It matches the Rfam family "Bacterial small subunit ribosomal RNA", at positions 1 to 256 of the family's 1533-position model. Lineage: Bacteria; Pseudomonadati; Nitrospinota. The record is from RNAcentral.
UUUUUGAAGGGUUUGAUCUUGGCUCAGAACGAACGCUGGCGGCGUGGAUUAGGCAUGCAAGUCGAACGAGGAUAUAUCCUUCGGGAUAUAAGCCGAGUGGCACAAGGGUGAGCAAUGCAUAGAUUACCUACCUUUAGGAUAAGGACAACUUUGUGAAAACGGAGCUAAUACUUAAUAAUACAAAAGAAAAUAAUUUUCUUUUGUCAAAGGGAGGGUAGCAAUACCUUUCGCCUAGAGAGGGGUUUAUGUCCUAUCAGCUUGUUGGUGGG